This is a small nucleolar RNA of Drosophila takahashii, 307 nucleotides long. Lineage: Eukaryota; Metazoa; Arthropoda; Insecta; Diptera; Drosophilidae. The record is from RefSeq and is a predicted model, not a curated record.
UCCGCAUGGUAUAUGUGCAUGGCUCAGACUGCUUGAGGUGAAUCCUGCGAUCAGACUCAAAGUCGACAAUUCCAGCUUCUUCCGUUGUAAUCUUGGAUUCUGCAUUAGAGAAUUUGCAGUGGCCGUAAGGCCAGCGGAACAACAAAAGCCACGAGCAAGACUAUUAUCUGUCGUGAAGUCAAAGACUGGUAAUUUAGGCUAUGGCUUACAGAAAAUUUGUACCAAAUGAAGCAAAUAUUGUCGACCCAGGAGACACUUAGGUCUGAGCUACUUGCCCCAUUGACGACGUCUUUAGUAAUCUGAGAAA